This 253-nucleotide ribosomal RNA is filed under the name uncultured bacterium. Its description in RNAcentral is "partial 16S ribosomal RNA". It matches the Rfam family "Bacterial small subunit ribosomal RNA", at positions 524 to 776 of the family's 1533-position model. The record is from RNAcentral.
UACGUAGGGUGCAAGCGUUGUUCGGAAUCAUUGGGCGUAAAGCGUGCGUAGGUGGUUUUUUAAGUCCGUGGUGAAAGCCCUGGGCUCAACCUGGGAAUGGCAGUGGAUACUGGAAAGCUAGAGUGCGGUAGAGGGUAGUGGAAUUCCCGGUGUAGCAGUGAAAUGCGUAGAGAUCGGGAGGAACACCAGUGGCGAAGGCGGCUACCUGGACCAGCACUGACACUGAGGCACGAAAGCGUGGGGAGCAAACAGG